AUCCUUUGACUCUGUGCUAAUUACAUUCUGUAUCUGGUGCUCACCUUUACAGCACUCUCUUCACAGACCACCCCUCAUAGUUUUUUUCUCUUUUUGCAUUAUAUAGAGAAUGCCACACAUAAAAGACAGUGGACCUGACCCGCCUGCCAGAUCCAAUUACUGGGCUACCUGAUGCCAGCCUAUGACUGUUUCUGAAACAAUAUUCUUCCUGGAAGGGGAAUCUGGACUUCAAGCACACAGUUCUCUGAAGCAUGAGCCUACUGAGUUCUCCCCUCUGCCGGCUGAGGAUUAAAGAUACUUGUCCAUUUC
Bubalus bubalis (water buffalo) is the source of this 309-nucleotide long non-coding RNA. RefSeq lists it as uncharacterized. The record is from RefSeq and is a predicted model, not a curated record. The transcript is spliced from 2 exons. NCBI's taxonomy places the organism in Eukaryota, Metazoa, Chordata, Mammalia, Artiodactyla, Bovidae.